CCCUUAGAUGUUCUGGGCCGCACGCGCGCUACACUGACGCAUUCAUCAAGCCUACAACCUUGGCCGAGAGGCCUGGGUAAUCUUUUGAAAGUGCGUCGUGAUGGGGAUAGAUUAUUGCAAUUCUUAAUCUUCAACGAGGAAUUCCUAGUAAACGCAUGUCAUCAGCAUGCAUUGAUUACGUCCCUGCCCUUUGUACACACCGCCCGUCGCUACUACCGAUUGAAUGUCUUAGUGAGGACCACGGAUUGCUGUCUUGGGUGGCAACACCCCUGACGAUGAGAAGUGGUCCAAACUUGAACAUUUAGAGGAAGUAAAANUCGUANCA
This 325-nucleotide ribosomal RNA is filed under the name uncultured eukaryote. Its description in RNAcentral is "partial 18S ribosomal RNA". It matches the Rfam family "Eukaryotic small subunit ribosomal RNA", at positions 1470 to 1796 of the family's 1831-position model. The record is from RNAcentral.